This 256-nucleotide ribosomal RNA is filed under the name uncultured bacterium. RNAcentral's name for it is "partial 16S ribosomal RNA". It matches the Rfam family "Bacterial small subunit ribosomal RNA", at positions 524 to 778 of the family's 1533-position model. The record is from RNAcentral.
UACGGGGGGGGGCAAGCGUUGUUCGGAAUUACUGGGCGUAAAGGGCUUGUAGGCGGCCAACUAAGUCCGACGUGAAAUCCCCAGGCUUAACCUGGGAACUGCGUCGGAUACUGGAUGGCUUGAAUUCGGGAGAGGGAUGCAGAAUUCCAGGUGUAGCGGUGAAAUGCGUAGAUAUCUGGAGGAAUACCGGUGGCGAAGGCGGCAUCCUGGACCGACAUUGACGCUGAGGAGCGAAAGCUAGGGGAGCAAAGCGGGG